CUGGCGGCGUGCCUAACAAUGCAAGUCGAACGAGAAAGUGGAGCAAUCCAUGAGUAAAGUGGCGACCGGGUGAGUAACACGUGACUAACCUACCUUCGAGUGGGGGAUAACCUCGGGAAACCGAGGCUAAUACCGCAUAACAUCGCAAGAUCAAAGCAGCAAUGCGCUGGAAGAGGGGGUCGCGGCUGAUUAGCUAGUUGGCGGGGUAACGGCCCACCAAGGCGAAGAUCGGUAUCCGGCCUGAGAGGGCGCACGGACACACUGGAACUGAAACACGGUCCAGACUCCUACGGGAGGCAGCAGUGGGGAAUUUUGCGCAAUGGGGGAAACCCUGACGCAGCAACGCCGCGUGGAGGAUGAAGCCCCUUGGGGCGUAAACUCCUUUCGACCAAGACGAUAAUGACGGUACUGGUGGAAGAAGCACCGGCUAACUCUGUGCCAGCAGCCGCGGUAAUACAGAGGGUGCGAGCGUUGUUCGGAAUUAUUGGGCGUAAAGGGCGCGUAGGCGGUGCCACAAGUCACCUGUGAAAUCCCCGGGCUUAACUCGGGGCCUGCAGGCGAAACUGUGGUGCUGGAGUGUG
RNAcentral lists this ribosomal RNA (581 nucleotides) under uncultured bacterium. RNAcentral describes it as "bacterial SSU rRNA". It matches the Rfam family "Bacterial small subunit ribosomal RNA", at positions 36 to 650 of the family's 1533-position model. The record is from RNAcentral.